RNAcentral lists this ribosomal RNA (562 nucleotides) under Hippocampus bargibanti (pygmy seahorse). Its description in RNAcentral is "partial 16S ribosomal RNA". It matches the Rfam family "Bacterial large subunit ribosomal RNA", at positions 1816 to 2597 of the family's 2925-position model. Lineage: Eukaryota; Metazoa; Chordata; Actinopteri; Syngnathiformes; Syngnathidae. The record is from RNAcentral.
CGCCUCUUGCUAAAUAAGAAUAAGAGGUCCCGCCUGCCCUGUGACUAAACGUUUAACGGCCGCGGUAUUUUGACCGUGCAAAGGUAGCGCAAUCACUUGUCUUUUAAAUAAAGACCUGUAUGAAUGGCAUAACGAAGGCUAAACUGUCUCCUUACCUUUAUCAAUGAAAUUGAUCCCCCCGUGCAGAAGCGGGGAUUAUCACAUAAGACGAGAAGACCCUGUGGAGCUUUAAGCAAAAUUGAUUUAUUAAAAGUAUAUCAAAUCUAUAAAAUAAAAUAAAAAUCAUUAUAUGCUUUUAGUUGGGGCGACCGCGGAGUACUAAAAAACCUCCGUGAGGAUUGAGGUAAACCCUUAAAACUAAGAAAAACACUUCAAAGUAUUAAAAUAUUUAACCUAAAGAUCCGGUAAUACCGAUUAACGAACCUAGUUACCCCAGGGAUAACAGCGCAAUCCUUUUUAAGAGCCCAUAUCGACAAAAGGGUUUACGACCUCGAUGUUGGAUCAGGAUGUCCUAAUGGUGUAGCAGCUAUUAAAGGUUUGUUUGUUCAACAAUUAAAAUCCU